RNAcentral lists this ribosomal RNA (451 nucleotides) under uncultured bacterium. RNAcentral describes it as "partial 16S ribosomal RNA". It matches the Rfam family "Bacterial small subunit ribosomal RNA", at positions 29 to 523 of the family's 1533-position model. The record is from RNAcentral.
AACGAACGCUGGCGGCAGGCUUAACACAUGCAAGUCGAACGGGCGUAGCAAUACGUCAGUGGCAGACGGGUGAGUAACGCGUGGGAAUGUGCCCUUUAGUUCGGAAUAACACAGAGAAAUUUGUGCUAAUACCGGAUAAGCCCGAGAGGGGAAAGAUUUAUCGCUGAAGGAGCAGCCCGCGUCUGAUUAGCUAGUUGGUGAGGUAAUGGCUCACCAAGGCGACGAUCAGUAGCUGGUCUGAGAGGAUGAUCAGCCACACUGGGACUGAGACACGGCCCAGACUCCUACGGGAGGCAGCAGUGGGGAAUAUUGGACAAUGGGGGCAACCCUGAUCCAGCCAUGCCGCGCGAGUGAUGAAGGCCUUAGGGUUGUAAAACUCUUUUGUCCGGGAAGAUAAUGACUGUACCGGAAGAAUAAGCCCCGGCUAACUUCGUGCCAGCAGCCGCAGUAA